Molecule: ribosomal RNA, 944 nt
Filed under: Arthrobacter sp.
Lineage: Bacteria; Bacillati; Actinomycetota; Actinomycetes; Micrococcales; Micrococcaceae
Description: bacterial SSU rRNA
Rfam family: Bacterial small subunit ribosomal RNA
Source: RNAcentral
AAAGAGCUCGUAGGCGGUUUGUCGCGUCUGCUGUGAAAGACCGGGGCUCAACUCCGGUUCUGCAGUGGGUACGGGCAGACUAGAGUGCAGUAGGGGAGACUGGAAUUCCUGGUGUAGCGGUGAAAUGCGCAGAUAUCAGGAGGAACACCGAUGGCGAAGGCAGGUCUCUGGGCUGUAACUGACGCUGAGGAGCGAAAGCAUGGGGAGCGAACAGGAUUAGAUACCCUGGUAGUCCAUGCCGUAAACGUUGGGCACUAGGUGUGGGGGACAUUCCACGUUUUCCGCGCCGUAGCUAACGCAUUAAGUGCCCCGCCUGGGGAGUACGGCCGCAAGGCUAAAACUCAAAGGAAUUGACGGGGGCCCGCACAAGCGGCGGAGCAUGCGGAUUAAUUCGAUGCAACGCGAAGAACCUUACCAAGGCUUGACAUGAACCGGUAAUACCUGGAAACAGGUGCCCCGCUUGCGGUCGGUUUACAGGUGGUGCAUGGUUGUCGUCAGCUCGUGUCGUGAGAUGUUGGGUUAAGUCCCGCAACGAGCGCAACCCUCGUUCUAUGUUGCCAGCGCGUUAUGGCGGGGACUCAUAGGAGACUGCCGGGGUCAACUCGGAGGAAGGUGGGGACGACGUCAAAUCAUCAUGCCCCUUAUGUCUUGGGCUUCACGCAUGCUACAAUGGCCGGUACAAAGGGUUGCGAUACUGUGAGGUGGAGCUAAUCCCAAAAAGCCGGUCUCAGUUCGGAUUGGGGUCUGCAACUCGACCCCAUGAAGUCGGAGUCGCUAGUAAUCGCAGAUCAGCAACGCUGCGGUGAAUACGUUCCCGGGCCUUGUACACACCGCCCGUCAAGUCACGAAAGUUGGUAACACCCGAAGCCGGUGGCCUAACCCUUGUGGGGGAGCCGUCGAAGUGGGACCGGCGAUUGGGACUAAGUCGUACCAAGGUAGACCCA